AGUGAACACACACACACACACACAAGGCAGUACUACGGGUGAAUGAAUGAGAUGCAAUGGCGCUCACCAUUUAUUAAAUAAUAACACACUUGUAAAUGACUUUGACAGAGAGCGAAUGUAUCCUAGUCAACAAUCUCCCUUCCGACCUGUGAGGGUGCUGUAUAACAGGAACAGCGUGCCCCGGACUGGCUGGUUUGGCAGUUCAUUCCAGGGUCAGCCAGAAGUCGGCCAUCCAGAAAAGGGGCGGAGUCACAGUACCAGAAGUCAUCGCUUUAAUGCGGUAGGCAAUGUGUCAGUCAUGGAUUGGAGGAUACGUGAUUGCACUCGCUACCAAAGUGGGCGGGACUGAAGGUAUAUAUGGUUACGAAAUGACCGGGAGGAAUAAAAAUAAACCGUGAGUGUUUAAUGUUAUCUUGUCUGUCGCUGUUAAGCCAGCAUCAAACCCAGACUGCACUGCACCACUGUUAUCACUGUUUCAUGUAUUCACAACACCACUUGCACCCGGAGCACUCACUGUUGGACUGGUGAUCGUGUAGGUGUUUUAAAGUGUGAUAUUUUUAUUAUUAUUAUUUCGGGACUGAACCCCGUGGUUUUGACUGGCUUUAUACAUCGCUGUGUAUAGCCAGUAUUAUUAUUUAAGCAAAUAAUAAAGCUUUGUUUUUCACCAUUGAACUGUUGUUGGAUUGUUAUUGCUGAGCACUGCAUCACCUCUACAGCUGCACACUGCAAGCCACUUUGCCACAAUGACAAACAAAACAAAAUGGCACGAUGUCCAAAAUAAAUAAACAUGGAACACAGGAAGUGAUGUACGUGACCUGCGACAAUUAAGCUUUUUAACGAGACAUGUGUUCAUUAAUAAACCUCAUCGACUCAAUUUCAAAGCAUUAUCGGAUUGAUUUGAUGAACAGCUGUCACGGGUGGGGUGACCUGAGAUAACCUUGACGAUAAUACCUAUGUAGCUGACAACUACGCCACCUUGUUUUUAAUAGUCACUUCCCUUCAGCCAGUCUUUCACUUCGCGUUUCUCUCCUCUCUCCCACGUUCCUACCACGCCCUCGGACCUCGCCCGAUCCUCUGUGUACUGCCACCACGCCCGACCUGGAAGCUGGACUGGAAAACCUGGAGGGAAGCGCUGAUAGAAUUCAAAAUAUAAUCCCUCUCCCAGAUCUGUGGGGAGAAAAGCCCAGGUGUCCAAAAGCUGGGACACCAACCAAUAACCCGUAUCUUGUUCCAGAAACAGUGCAAUAACAAAAGCGAGUGAACAAAAGAAAACAGAAAAAAGUGUCCAAAUUAAAUCAACAAUAAAGUAACAAAAAAAAAACA
This is a long non-coding RNA of Acipenser ruthenus (sterlet), 1323 nucleotides long. RefSeq lists it as uncharacterized. The record is from RefSeq and is a predicted model, not a curated record. NCBI's taxonomy places the organism in Eukaryota, Metazoa, Chordata, Actinopteri, Acipenseriformes, Acipenseridae. The transcript is spliced from 2 exons.